GACGAACGCUGGCGGCGUGCCUAAUACAUGCAAGUCGAGCGAGCAAUUUUAGCAGAAUACCUUCGGGUAGGAAGCUAAGAGCGCGAGCGGCGGAUGGGUGAGUAACACGGGGGCAACCUACCCUUUAGCUGGGGAUACCACUUGGAAACAGGUGCUAAUACCGAAUAAGAAGCAAGAGCGCAUGCUCAAGCUAUGAAAGGCGGCUUUAAGCUGUCACUAAAGGAUGGGCCCGCGGUGCAUUAGCUAGUUGGUAAGGUAACGGCUUACCAAGGCGAUGAUGCAUAGCCGAGUUGAGAGACUGAACGGCCACAUUGGGACUGAGACAUGGCCCAAACUCCUACGGGAGGCAGCAGUAGGGAAUCUUCCACAAUGGACGCAAGUCUGAUGGAGCAACGCCGCGUGAGUGAAGAAGGUUUUCGGAUCGUAAAGCUCUGUUGUUGGUGAAGAAGGAUAAGGAUAGUAACUGAUUCAUAUUUGACGGUGAUCAACCAGAAAGUCACGGCUAACUACGUGCCAGCAGCAGCCGCGG
RNAcentral lists this ribosomal RNA (529 nucleotides) under uncultured bacterium. Its description in RNAcentral is "partial 16S ribosomal RNA". It matches the Rfam family "Bacterial small subunit ribosomal RNA", at positions 28 to 523 of the family's 1533-position model. The record is from RNAcentral.